Molecule: unclassified non-coding RNA, 396 nt
Filed under: soil metagenome
Description: partial contains 5.8S ribosomal RNA, internal transcribed spacer 2, and large subunit ribosomal RNA
Rfam family: 5.8S ribosomal RNA (bases 1-122)
Source: RNAcentral
GUUGAAGAACGUAGUGAAAUGCGAUACUUGGUGUGAAUUGCAGAAUCCCGUGAACCACCGAGUCUUUGAACGCAAGUUGCGCCCGAAGCCAUUAGGCCGAGGGCACGCCUGCCUGGGUGUCACACACCGUUACCCUCGCGCCAACGUCCAUCGUUGGCCGCGGCGCGGGGCGUGCGCUGACCUCCCGCGAGCGGGGUCUCGUGGUUGGUUGAAAAUCGAGUUCGCGGUCGAGGGUGCCGUGAUGAAAUGGUGGAUGGGCGACGCCCGAGGCCAAUCACGCGCGACUCUGUCCGGCUCGGACUCCUGGACCCCUUCGGCGUCUCCGGACGCUCUUUGGCGAGACCUCAGGUCAGGCGGGGCUACCCGCUGAGUUUAAGCAUAUCAAUAAGCGGAGGA